AGGGUUUGCUUCUUUUUAUUCAACUCCAGUAUGAAAAACUGAUCAAUUAAUUAAUUCCUUCAUUAAUUCAGUAUUUGAAAUACCAUGUAAUUUAUACUAAAUUAAAUUCAUAUUUCUGGUCUUUACCAUUGAUGGCCUCACAAUCUAAUCAUAUGUCAACAUUACAGGAGUGUGCAUUAAAAUAGUCCACAUUCACAAGACUCCUCCACUGAUUCAUUCUUGAUACUAUAACUGUUAUAAUAGUUUGUCACGUGAAACUAUAUCACUCUCUAAGCAUACUGUUAUGAAAGGUCUGGAUGGACACUAUACCACUCAGGACAUGGGGUUUCAUGGUCAAACAAGUCUUCACCACAUGUCUUCACAGGUAGUGGUUAAGGACUGUUUCAUAUUUCUCCUGUUUGCCUGAUGUGACUUUGGGCUCCCCAUUUUGCUUGACAAAGUCCUGAGAAUAAACAACAAAAACUCCCAUUAACAUUAACUGCCAUUAACAUGUAACAGUGUUGUUACAAACACAUGAGUGCUGUAGAGAUGGUACUAUGUUGUUAUUCCACUAGUGACCUCACCUCCAGCUCCUCCAAUGAGGUGCUGCCAUCCUCUACUUUCUGACCAAUACCAUGGCUGAAGCUCAUGUAGCGCUCCUGUCAGAAGACAGCGAUGUUGUGUGGAAAAGCUUAUAUAGUUUGAGCUUAGCUAGCUAAUACAUAAGCAUUCUUUAGCACAGAUAGUACAUUUUGUCUCCUUGCAAUGCCAACAUACCUGGUAAAAUAAGGUUAAGUGCAUGAAUGAAUGAAUGAAUAUAUUCAUUUAUAUAUUGUCUUAGUACCUUGACCAUCCCAGUGAUUAAGUGAUUACGUGAACGAAUGAAAAUUAUGCCUCAUUACUUUGACCAUGCUGGUGAUAACUCCUUCCUCUAUGAUCCUGACUGCGUUCCUCAGGCCGCGUGCGAAGGCGUCCAUGGCUCCAAUGUGGGCUAUGAACAGGUCCUCCAGGUCCGUGGACUCCCUACGCACCUUAGCAUCGAAGUUCAGACCCCCCGGCUGCAGACCACCCUGCUCUAUCACAGUCUGGGGAGGAUAAAACAAUGCAUUUUCUUAUGUUCUUUCUGCUGACGUUCUGAUAGGUAUCAUAAUGAAAUAACUGUUUAUUAGUAAUUGUGUGUGUGUGUGCCAUUAUCUCCUAUGUCACCUUCAUUAUCAUGGUGGUGUUCCUGAUGUCCAUGGGGAACUGGUCUGUGUCCCAGCCCAGGUCAGGAGAACCUGUGUUGGAGUCCACAGAGCCCAGCAUGCCAAACCUACACACCAGAACAACAGGCUUAUUAGCUUAACUGGACUGGAACAUCCAGAUUACCAGGAAUGACGUCAACUACCCAGUCCAAAAAAUACCACUAACCCCUACCCCCUAUGCACUUCUGAAAGGUGUAAGAAAUAUGGUGAAAAUUAUACCUCCCCUAUCAUUACAUCUACCCUAUCAGAGGGCAAGGUGGAGCAUUAACAUAUUGAUUCGACCUAUCCAAUCUCUUCAGACCUACACAAGUCCAUCAAGGUAGAGAGCAGGGGAUAGGGGGUCGGUUUGGGAAACGUGAAAGUCAACAUGGCGACUUACACGGAGGCCAUGAUGACGUCGUGUUCGUAGGAAUGCCCAGCUAGAGUGGUGUGGUUGGGUUCGAUGUUCAGCUUGAAGUGGCUGUCCAGUUCAUAAUGCUUCAGGAAGCCUAUGACACUCAUUGCAUCUAUAAAAAGGUGAAACAGCAACAUGUACAAAGAGAUGUAACAUGGAAAUGAAAGGCGUCAGAGAUUUUCUAGCAUCUAAUUUUUAGAUGUGGUUAGUAAUGCAGAUAAACUAACUCUUGAGGGCCUCCAUAGUUCAACAGUAACCACAUAGUAUAUCCUUACAAUGUGUACAUUAUGUUAAUGUUGUGUUAUACACCUAAAAGCCUUACCAUAGUCGUAUUGAUGUUUGCAUGGCUCUUUGGGCUUGGGUUCAAUGAGGAACUGGCACUUCAACCCUAUCUUCUCCUUGUACUCUGAUAUACAAAAACACAAUCAGGUUAUCAUCUGAAAAUGGUAGGUGACAGUUAAAAGUUGGUACAGUAUUAUGGUAACAAUGUAUUACACACACAGCAGUGCUAGCUACUUACUGACAGCCAUUUUGAAAAAGUUUGCCAUAUGUUUCAGUUCAGCGCCAACAUCAGUGUUGUGUAUCGAGUAAAAACCCUCCCUGCCGCCCCAGAAGACUGCACAAGGAGACAAAAAUACAUGCAUAGGUUAGGUGGUGGCAAAGAC
RNAcentral lists this long non-coding RNA (2282 nucleotides) under Salmo salar (Atlantic salmon). RNAcentral's name for it is "lncRNA (ENSSSAG00000097772.1)". The record is from RNAcentral. Lineage: Eukaryota; Metazoa; Chordata; Actinopteri; Salmoniformes; Salmonidae.